UACGUAGGUGGCAAGCGUUGUCCGGAAUUAUUGGGCGUAAAGGGCGCGCAGGCGGUUCGGUAAGUCUGUCUUAAAAGUGCGGGGCUUAACCCCGUGAGGGGACGGAAACUGUCGAACUUGAGUGUCGGAGAGGAAAGCGGAAUUCCUAGUGUAGCGGUGAAAUGCGUAGAUAUUAGGAGGAACACCGGUGGCGAAAGCGGCUUUCUGGACGACAACUGACGCUGAGGCGCGAAAGCGUGGGGAGCAAACAGG
RNAcentral lists this ribosomal RNA (252 nucleotides) under uncultured bacterium. RNAcentral's name for it is "partial 16S ribosomal RNA". It matches the Rfam family "Bacterial small subunit ribosomal RNA", at positions 524 to 776 of the family's 1533-position model. The record is from RNAcentral.